GCGGCCCGAAGAGGCCAGCUUAGCCCCGAUGAAUCGGGAGAGGAAGACUCCGACUGGGAAUCUCCCUCCUCGCCGUUAUUGCGAUCGGAAAAGGAUGAAGCCCAAGCUUAAUCAAACACUAAAAGCUGGGAUUUACGCCUAUAUAAGAUCCCCCAUCCUCCCCUUUGAGAUCCAUCAAAGAAAAAAGGGUUCUUUUGGUCUCGAUCUCAAGCCGUCUUCCUGAGAGUUUUCCUCUGUAUUCCACCAGCAAAGGUCGCAAGCGAGCCUCGCCGGACUGAGGUACGAGUUUUCCAUUCUCUCCUCUUUCUUCCUUUGUGUUUUGGGCUUUGGAUUCUAUUGUUUUGAGCCGGCAAUCGCCGGAGUUCCUUCCGAAACAGAGCAUCUCUGUUUCUAUGAUUCCCACCGGUUUUGGCCGCCGCCGGCCGCUGGUUUGGCCGGGGCUGUGCCCGCUUGUGACUGCCGACGUGUGGGGUCCGGGCCGCCAUGGCUGCCUCCCUCGGACUUGCGGGGGAACGGGGGAAGGAAAGGAGAAGGGGAGGACGAGCCUCCCUGUUCGUGAACAGCGAGAGAGAGUUUCUCUCUCUUCUCCCCUCUCCUCACUCUCUCUCUUCUCUCCACUUCCUCUCUCCACAUUCUCUCUCUUCUCUCCACUUUAUCUCUCCACAUUCUCUCUUCUUCCCGCUUCCUCUUUCUACUUUCUCUCUCUGGAAGAUCCAUUGAAUCCAGUAUUGUGUCCUAUCGACCUGAUCUACGAAUUCAAGUUGAUCCUAUAAAGGCCUUAGUUCUGCCCUGGUGCCCGGAUUGCAUGCUGAACCGGUCAUUCUGGCCUUAUUGAAUGUCCUUAAAAACUUUAUUAACGAGAGACAUUUUAUCGAACACCAUGGUUCCGCCCUGGUGCCCGGCAUGAGAACACUUCAGGUUGGCAUCCCAUCAGAGACAUUCUAUCGAACACCAUGGCUGCUUCGCUUACCCUCUUCUCGGAGCAGAGGCCAUUGACAAGAGAGCUGAAGAUUAUGGCGUUGGGGACAUGGCCACGUUUCACGAGGUCCCCGUACGUAACAUUCUUCCCGUUAGUAUGAUUAGUAUUGUGGCUCCAGUAGGUAAUUUAGUCGUGCCCCAGCCAUCCUCUUUUCCUUUAUUCUUUUAGUUCUUGUUAAAAUGCUUUGUUGACCUUCCAUUUUAUAUAAACCAACAACCUUAUAAUUGGUGGUGACUAUUAUUAUGAGUUAGGAUCGAUCAAAUCUUUCAUCAUCCAAUUCAAGAAAGGUAAUGGCCUUCUAAGUUUCCUUCUGUUUAAAGUUUGUUCCUAUCACUUGCUCCAUAUAAAUGCUAUUGAUCACUGAUCUAAGUUGGAAUAUCCAGUCAUGAGAUGCUGCUUAUGUAUUGUAUUCUUGCUAAUUUAGAGCUCUUUCAGGGUCAUUGUCGUACAAAAACUUGCAUUGUCCUCAAGCCACUUUUCGCAGCUAACUUGGCCAUUAUUACCUUCAUGCAGGAUGAAAAUUCAAAGAGAAAACUCGCUUUAUGAAUACCUAAUACUUGAAGGAAAAAGGUUCUUGUUGUCCAUGCUAUGUAUAACUUCACUGUCGCUCGUCAAAAUUUCCAUAGCAUCAUUAGGAAUGAAAGUCCUGCCACAGCCAGCAAGAUAUUGACUCCAAAGACAUAAAUAAGCAAAAAAUGAACUAGGAAUCAAAUUAGCACUGGAAGAUAUUGUCUGAAGCAGAUGAGUAAUAUUUUAUUCUUUGACUGAUCUUUGGUUUUGUGUGCUUAUGAGAGAAAGGAGGUCAAAUUUGCUGAAAGUGGUACGAUUCAUUUCCCUUUAAUUCCUUUUCCUUUAAUAGGUAACAUCAAUAAUCGAAGUUGGAUGGCUUCGUACCUUCAUAGGUUUUUGUAGGGCUGUAAUAUAGCGAUCUUGAUUCUGGAGUGUGCCAAAGUGGUUCAUGGUUCUUAAACAACACAGCAAAAGAAAAGGCGCAGCUUGCCAAAUUACAUGAUAUCAUUAACCUCUUCCUGUCAAUAAAUCUUGUGCCUGCAUCAAAAGUCUACCCUGUGCUAUUCUUUCAACGG
This 2064-nucleotide long non-coding RNA is filed under the name Phoenix dactylifera (date palm). RNAcentral describes it as "long non-coding RNA (PDAC_LNC003935)". The record is from RNAcentral. Lineage: Eukaryota; Viridiplantae; Streptophyta; Magnoliopsida; Arecales; Arecaceae.